Molecule: long non-coding RNA, 841 nt
Filed under: Citrus x clementina
Lineage: Eukaryota; Viridiplantae; Streptophyta; Magnoliopsida; Sapindales; Rutaceae
Description: Citrus clementina (C. clementina) long non-coding RNA (CCLE_LNC002466)
Source: RNAcentral
UUUCCUUGUGUUAUCGGGUAGAGUAUCAUCUUCAAGGGUUUCAAAAAGUCUUUGCAGUAAAGUUUCAACCAAUUGCUGUGAAGAGGCAUAUUCAUUUGAGUAAUUCAGUUUCAGAUUUUCAGGGCGUGUGUGUUUAAUUAGUUUUGAUUAAAAUAUUUAGUCACUCAUUCUGAAUCUUUUCUAAUUUUCAAGUUCCUUAGGGCCACAGCCAGUUUUUCAGGUCUGCAGAAACUAUCUUGAGUGUUGAGGAAUUGCGUUUGAGCACACACAGAAACAAGGCUAAUGGAAAAGAACUUGACAGAAGAAUUAUGCUCUAAAUCUAACAAAAGUAUAUUUCUACUUCUUGUGGUUAUUUUACUUUUGUAUUUUCUGUCAUCAUAUUUGAUUAAUUCAUUCGAAUUCAGACUCUCAUUAUUUAAAACCAUUUUCAGGUGGCUUGCACGCUAAUUAAGUUAAUGCAGAAGCUAUACUCUAGACAAAGAUGAGCAAAUUGAAGAUGAUAAAUACAUAUAUGGUGGCCAAGUCGCUCAUUACAUUUCAUCUCUCAUACGAACAUGAUUCUGAAUUUGAAUUUCGAUCAAUAAUAGUCAGGCUGGUGCAGAUAUUCUUAAAAGGGCAUUAAGCUACCUUAUGAAAUUGGAAAGUUAUCAUUGCUUGAAUGAAAGCACCAUCUUCUGUUGUCAAGGCUUUCCCCACACGAUGAGAUUCUGUGCUUGUUAUCGGCCACUUAAUUAUUUAUUAAAUCAGGUUUUUGUUAUCAAGUACAUCAUCUUAUUCACCAUUUUGGCUAUAUAUAAAGAUUAAAAUUUCUAACAGUUGUUUCGGAUUCUUGUGUACUCAG